UUCUUGGUUAUUACCCUUUCAACUUGGGCUUUUUCCAACGGUGGCCUUGCCUGGAAAAAUGGUAGGAGCCAAAUGGGUUGUGUUUCGAUCCCGGGUCCUCGAGGCCUUCCCUUCUUUGGUAGUUUGUUCAGUUUGAGCCAUGGCUUGGCUCACCGUACUCUUGCUUGCAUGGCUUCAAGACUUUCCGCCACCCAGCGUCAGCUUAGGGUCUACGCCUGCCAUUGUCAGUUCUGAUCCUCAAAUUGCUCGUGAAAUCUUGACUUCUCCUCACUUCGCAGAUCGUCCCAUCAAACAGUCCGCUAAGAGCCUUAUGUUUAGCCGAGCCAUUGGGUUCGCGCCAAAUGGGGCUUACUGGCGGCUGCUGAGAAGAAUUGCUUCAACUCAUUUGUUUGCACCCAAGCGCAUGGCAGCUCAUGAGCCUUGGCGCCAGCUAGAUUGUGCUGCUAUGAUACGUGAUAUUCAUAAUGAACAGUCCCUCAAUGGAGCUGUUCAUCUGCUUAAACACCUUCAAAAUUCUUCUCUUAAUAACAUUAUGGGGACUGUUUUCGGCAAAAGAUAUGAUUUCACAAAAUAUAACGAGGAGGC
RNAcentral lists this unclassified non-coding RNA (585 nucleotides) under Hevea brasiliensis (rubber tree). The record is from RNAcentral. Lineage: Eukaryota; Viridiplantae; Streptophyta; Magnoliopsida; Malpighiales; Euphorbiaceae.